This 72-nucleotide transfer RNA is filed under the name Fukomys damarensis (Damara mole-rat). It matches the Rfam family "tRNA". Rfam says of the family: Transfer RNA (tRNA) molecules are approximately 80 nucleotides in length. Their secondary structure includes four short double-helical elements and three loops (D, anti-codon, and T loops). Further hydrogen bonds mediate the characteristic L-shaped molecular structure. tRNAs have two regions of fundamental functional importance: the anti-codon, which is responsible for specific mRNA codon recognition, and the 3' end, to which the tRNAs corresponding amino acid is attached (by aminoacyl-tRNA synthetases). tRNAs cope with the degeneracy of the genetic code in two manners: having more than one tRNA (with a specific anti-codon) for a particular amino acid; and 'wobble' base-pairing, i.e. permitting non-standard base-pairing at the 3rd anti-codon position. The record is from Rfam by way of RNAcentral. Lineage: Eukaryota; Metazoa; Chordata; Mammalia; Rodentia; Bathyergidae.
AGGGAUGUAGCUCAGUGGUACAGCACCUGCCUGGCAAGUGAGAGGCCUUGAGUUUGAUUCCCAAUAUUUUUU